RNAcentral lists this non-coding RNA (23 nucleotides) under Cricetulus griseus (Chinese hamster). The record is from RNAcentral. Lineage: Eukaryota; Metazoa; Chordata; Mammalia; Rodentia; Cricetidae.
CCGAUGUCUCUGGGAGAAGGUAC